This 257-nucleotide long non-coding RNA is filed under the name Manihot esculenta (cassava). RNAcentral's name for it is "long non-coding RNA (MESC_LNC010378)". The record is from RNAcentral. Lineage: Eukaryota; Viridiplantae; Streptophyta; Magnoliopsida; Malpighiales; Euphorbiaceae.
UCCACUAGGAUAGGAUGUGGAGUCCUGUCUUGUUUGAUGAUAUGAAAUGCCAUGAUUAUAUGCAUGUGCAUUAAUGAUAUGUGAUGUAUGUGAUGAGGGUUCAUGUGUGCCCACAUGAACCAUAUGAUGCUAAUGUUUGCUUGUUGUGUGCUGCCUUUCAGAAAACAGGAUGAGGGGAACUCGUCGAUCUGCACGAUUGACUGGAGUGCCACCUGAGGAUGAGGGCACGAGCGCCCGUCCUCCUGCAUUGCCUAGGG